UCGAGCCUACGGGGGGCAGCAGUGGGGGAUAUUGCACAAUGGGGGGAACCCUGAUGCAGCGACGCCGCGUGGGUGAAGGAGCGUUUCGGCGCGUAAAGCCCUAUCGGCAGGGAAGAAGAUGACGGUACCUGACCAAGAAGCCCCGGCUAACUACGUGCCAGCAGCCGCGGUAAUACGUAGGGUGCGAGCGUUAAUCGGAAUUACUGGGCGUAAAGCGCUCGUAGGCGGUAUGUCAAGUCAAGGGUGAAAUCCCCGCGCUCAACGUGGGAACUGCCUUUGAAACUGGCAAACUGGAGUGUGUGAGG
Molecule: ribosomal RNA, 305 nt
Filed under: uncultured bacterium
Lineage: Bacteria
Description: bacterial SSU rRNA
Rfam family: Bacterial small subunit ribosomal RNA
Source: RNAcentral